UGCCAGCCUCCUCGGUAAUACGGAGAGGGCAAGCGUUGUUCGGAAUCACUGGGCAUAAAGCGCACGUAGGCGGAUUGGAAAGUCGGUUGUGAAAGCCCGGGGCUCAACCCCGGAAUUGCUUCCGAAACUGCCAGUCUGGAGGACGAGAGGGGAGAGUGGAACUUCUGGUGGAGCGGUGAAAUGCGUAGAUAUCAGAAGGAACACCGGUGGCGAAAGCGACUCUCUGGCUCGUUUCUGACGCUGAGGUGCGAAAGCCAGGGGAGCAAACGGGAUUAGAUA
RNAcentral lists this ribosomal RNA (279 nucleotides) under uncultured bacterium. Its description in RNAcentral is "partial 16S ribosomal RNA". It matches the Rfam family "Bacterial small subunit ribosomal RNA", at positions 506 to 784 of the family's 1533-position model. The record is from RNAcentral.